AGGGAAGGAAGGUUCCCAUGUAACCCCAUAAAUUUCCUGCUCCAUGCAUUGGAAGUCUCUGAUUUCUAAUAAAAUUCUCAUGAGAACAUAGAAUUGCUCCAUAAAAACCCCUGAAGUCUCCCCAUGAGAACCGGCUGGUUUAUAAGGGCACACGGGUUCACGGCUGCGGUUUAUUUAUUAAAAAUUUCUCAGUAAAUAUAUCAUCGUCAGCUGGAGAGCGCCCGGCGACUGGUGAGGCCAUGCUUCACCCCUGCCAUCGGAGAACUAAGGCAAACAAGGGCGGGCGGGGCAGGGACUCCCUGAACCAGAGGAACCGAACUUUUCUUGUUUUUUAACCAGAGAAAGUCCUAAGCUUGUUUUACCUCUGACCGAUGGGACCACCCGGGAGUUUCCCAGCUGCUCGGGGAGACUUGAAUUGGGAAGUCCUGGUGCCCAGGGGCCCACCCAGGAGAGGCCAGGGCCUGGUCCCUGGGGGCAGCACAGGACUGGAGAAGGCAGAGCAGUGGGUCCUGUAGAUGUGAGGGCGGCUCCGGGAUUCUGAUGGCUGGGGAAGCACCAACUUGCGCCUGGAGUUGCGAAGUCAUGGAUCUACCGAGACUCAUCCCUCCCCACCUGGUGACCCUGCGGGCAGCCUGUUCGGGACCCACAAGCUGGCUGCCCUCAUCUCCAUUGCCCACAGACGCAGCUGCCACCAUCGUCCUGGCUUUAGGGGCAAGGAAUGUCCCCACAGGAGCCUGAGGGACACCUGAAGCCACCAUGGCUUGUCAGGACACAGCAGGAAACUGAACCCAACUCCCCACUCUGUCCUCGUUUUUACCCUGUGUGCCAACCACCCCUACUUCCAGACCAGAGGGUGAGGAGGAACACGUACUCCGCACUGGGGUGGGUUAGGGACGCCUGGGGGAGCACAGGCCUCCGAGUCCCUGCUGUGAGCAGGUUGCCUGCCUUUUUCCUUUUCCUCCUGCCCAGCCCAGAGCCAGAGCUACGACUGUAAAACCCUUAUCCAAGUAAGCCGAAGAGCCCGAGGGCAUGGUGAGCUGGUGCUGAGGUCAGUGUCUGCCUUGGGGCUCCUGGAUGCUUCACCCAAUGACCCAAAGCGGAGAGGCUGGGUUUGGUCUGUGCCCGAGAAAGCAUCAUUGCAAAAUUUUAAAAUGCACUUCCUGUGUGUGCUGGAGAUUGAACCCUCGGCCACCACACAGAGCUGCAUCCUGAGACCUUUUAUGUUCUGAGACAGGGUCCCACUAAGUCACUAUAGCACACGCUGGGUCUGAACCUACCAUCCUGCCUCAGCCUCCCGGAGUGCUGGGCUUAGAGGUUUGCACAACUGUGGCUGGCUUAGAUUUGUUUUUUAUUUUUCUUUUGGUCUUUUUGAGGCAGGGUCUUGCAAUGCAGUUCAGGCUGGCCUUGAGUUACUUUGUAAUCCAGACUGAUCUCAAACUCUCAACAAUCCUCCUGUUUCAGCCUCCUGAGUGCUGGGAUCACAGCUGUGCACCACUCUGCCAUGCAAGAUUUAUUUUUUAAAGCAGUUUAGGUUCACAGCAAAAUUGAGCAGACUGGUAGAGACCACCUAUACAUCCCAGCCAUUCCACCCACAGUCUGGGGGCAUCUGUGACAUGGUUUGCACAGAGGCUGCUGUUCUGGACAAAUGCACAGUGAUCUGCAUGACAGUCUCUGCCUGCUGCCCUUCCUCCACCUGCUCAUCCUGAGCCCCAGGCCAGCUCACUGACUGACUGACCGACCUUCUGCUGUCUGUUCUGCUGUCUGCUUAUCUUGCCUAGAAGGUCAGACUUGAAGCUGUUUCAGACUGGUGCCUUCCUCCUGGGGAUCUACAGCUCGGUUUGCCCCACCUGCUCGUGGCCUUCUUCUAAGCUAGGAGUAGCUUCGGCCUGCACAGAAUGAAAAGCUCUUCCCAGAGCAGGGAUGCACAGACCCAUGGCACCCGAACCCUGUUCCUGACCCUGAAGAGUUGUGGGAGGUGACCAUGGCCAGGGUAGCCAAGCUCACAGGUCCCCUGGGACCCUCAGCCCAGGCCCCUUUGAUCCUGCCAAACCUGCUCAGCUCUGGAGGAGGAGUUUGCUGGGCCUCAUUCAUGCUGGAGCCUGGGCUAUCCUUACCCCGAACACUCCAGCCGGAGCAGGCGAGGAAGCUGCUGAGAAAAUGCCGUACUCAGUGCACAAGCCAAGCUUUGCACAAGUCUGGGGCUCAUCUAGGUGGGCUUCUGUGCAGGCCCAGCAACCGAACCCCAGGUCUGCGUUUCAGAGAACAAAGCUGGAUUCCUGUGACCCAAGAAUGCAGUGAGUGCUGGGGAGGGAAGGAGCGCCACCUGGCGACCAUACUGUGUCACAGGGCUCCAGGGCUCUGGGGGCCUGGGGAAGCCUCCCAGGGCAGGGACCAACAGAAGGGGACACACUCACCUCCUAUGCCUCACAGGUGUCACCAGGAUGAUCCCUGUGAUCCCCUUUGUUGCAACCUUGAAUCACGGCUCAGUCACUGGAAAGUGACCAGGAGGAGAAGGCAGGCAGCCGUUUAUCUCAAACCCUGGUCAGCACUGAGCCUUCAGCUGACAGUUACUGAAAAUACGAGGCUGAAGUCCUGUGUGUUUUCAUAACCUUACAGAGCGCGGCUCGGACCUUGUCCGCCUGACUCUUACUCAGAUUAAUGUGUAAUUUCCUGACUGCUGGAGAAGUCGUCACUCUCUGAAUCCUCAGGACGUUUGCCCUGGGCCAGAGAUGGCUCGGUGUCCUCAAGGGGAGCUGCUGCACCUGGCACCCCUGAGCCCGCUGUCCUGCUGCAGUGUUGGGCAUCCACCUCUCAAGACCCUGGACGGACCUCAUCCCCCUGGGCCCCCAAGGCCCAGGUGCAGAUGGACAUCACGUGGCUGACUGUGAAAUUCUCAGCCAGGCCAGGCCAGGCUGGAGCACCCGGAGGCGUGGUGCAUUGCACCAGGGCCAGUAGGGCAGCAGCUCAGAGAAGCAGUCUGGGGCGAGGCCCCUUCUGCCUGGCCUUGCUUGGGGAACUGGGUGGACACUGAUCACCCACACUACCCGCCUCUGCCUUUUCUGCAUCGAGGGUGCUCGCCUGGGGCUUAGCACGAAGAGCACAGGGAUUCGGCCACCAGUCCACAGGUCAUACCCGUGCCUGGGGAGGGCGAGAGAACCUGUCCACACAGCCAGGCCCCGGACAGUGCCUUUGCUACAGGAGGGGCAGAGACUCGGAAAAGACACAUUGCCAUCCACCUCCCUAAAAUCCUCCCCUGCUUUGAAGAUGUGAGUUUUCUGGCGUAAAGAGAAGCAGAAGAGAGUGAAAAUGGCCAUUUAUUUGGGGACAUGGAGAAGAGCUCACAGCCCGAAGGGUUUGGCUUUCGCCCUCUGGAGGGAUGCAGCCAGGCAGAAGGUUGUGUGACCGGAAGUGGUACGUGGGGUGAGCGUUGAUGACGUGUAAGGGCCUGAUUGGCGUUGUCUUCGCGGGCAAACGGGAAAGUAACAAUUUGGACUGAAGGGGAGGAAGGAGUGGCUGUCAGGGCAAGCGUUCUGCCUUGGCCUUCCAUGUUAGACCAUCACCAGAGCUGGUCAGUGAUUUAUACUAGGGCAAGAGCCUUUCAGAAGACACUCACCCCACCGUUCUGGCCACUUUCUGACGCGGUUCGGCGUCCUCUUUCCGCAGCAUUUCUGCGAGUUUUGAGCCACAUACGACGAACGCGGCUGCCCAGUGCUGCCCACUGGAAGGCGGGCAGGUCCUGGUCACUAGAUCUGGGUCUGGCUUUUCCCCAAGUCAGAAUAACGUGGAGGCCGCCAGCCCUAUGCCAACAGCAGACUCAGGAAAGCAGCCUUGACCAGCUUGAGCAUGAAGGACAGAUGGGACCGCGGUGUCUCCUGAGGGGCACACUGGGGGUGACAGCGUGUGUGUCUCUUACUGUAAUACAUCUAAAAACACGGAGGUACUCUGCAGUUUUUGGUCCCAUCUCCAUUUCUUGAUUUAUCAUCUUGGAGCCCUGAGAACUGACUUAGCUCCUCUUGCUGUGAGGAAUCCUAGGACCUGAAGCCCAGUGCAGUGAAGCUCUGGCCUGGGUUCCUUGCUCCAGCCCCGCUUCCCUGGGAGGAGUGUGGUCCCUGCCCAGGCAGGUGCUAGGACCUGGGCAGGGUGGCACCAUGUGGAAUUCCCUGCCUGCCUGGAGGAGGACACUCCUGACCCAGCCUGGCGUGGAUCUUGGGGUACCAAUAUUUAUGAUUCUUUUUAAAAAUGAGAACAGUCCCCUCUGCUGGACUAGAAACAACCUGAAGUCAGGCUCCAGGCAACCUCUGAAUGGAACUAAGCAAUAAACACCCGGUAAGGACUGAGUUGAUUGCGUGGGCACAGCGUGUGUAGAAUAACACAGCUGACCGCAGUGGCGCCGAGUGGGGGCUGAAGGAUGGAUGCCAAGCUAUCACUGCUGAGAUGAAGACACUCCUUCAUAGGAAGAGAGCACACACACACACACACACACACACACACACACACACACACGUGUACACACACAGGCACCCCGUGCACUCAUCCUGCGUGCUAUGUACACUGUGAAAGUUAGGGUUAAAGAAAACGGCCACUGCCACUUGCCAAGUAGAAGCUGAGCAUCCUGCUCCCGGAAGGGCUGUCCCAGAAGUUGACGUAGCAGAGGAUGUACACAGCCCCCACCAGCAGGUUGAAGAGCCUCCAGUGGCAGGUGCUAUCAACGAUGUCACUCUGCUGGGCUACGAGCCAGAAGGUCAUCGCCAGCCAGUGCAUACCUGCAGAGAGACAGAAGACAGAGAGACGGAGAGAGAGACAGGGGAGACAGGGACAGAGGGAAGCAGAGAGAAGACAGAGAGACAGAGAGAGAGAACAGGGGAGUCAGAUAGGGACAGAGGGAGACAGAGAGAGAGAUGAGAAAGACAGCCAGGGACAGAGGGAGACAGAGAAAGAGAGCCAAGACAGGAGAGAGAGUGAUAGCGACAUAGACGGGAGAGAGACAGAGAUAGACCAAGAGAGAGAGAGAGAGAGAGAGAGAGAGAGAGAGAGAGAGAGGGAGACAGAGAGACAGGAGAGACAGACAGGGACAGAGGGAGACAGAGAGAGAGGCAGAGAAAGAGGCAAGAGACAGACAGAUGGGAGAGGGAUUGAUAGGGUAGACAGACAGAGAAAGAUAGAAAGAGGGAGAUAGGAAAGAGACAGAGAUGGGGGAGAGAGAGAGACACACAGAGAUGGGGAGAGAGACAGAUGGAGAGAUGGGGAGAGAGAGAGAAGAGAGAGAUGCAGGGUCAGAAAGAGACAGACAGAUGGAGAGCGAGGCCAUGGAAGUCAGGCCCAGUGGCAGGUGGGCAGGGGAGCCCCUAGCGCACAGAAACCAGGUCUAGGAGCUUCAUCUCUGCCCGGGCCACUCCUGACCAGAACCUAGAAGAGACAUCAAAACCCAGCAGAGGUCCUGCUGUCUGCACACAGAUGUGGUGACCUCACCUCCCGCAGGGUACACGACCUUGCUGGGUGUGAACACAGAGACCGGCUCCACCAGCAGGGUCGGAGGGUCGGAUGUUACCUACUGAUACUUUUCUCAGCCCAAACAGCAUUUGAGGAGGUCUUAAAACUGAUUUCCUGGUUCUCUGUUUUGGAGCUGUUACUACAGGAGCCCAAACCUCCAUACCCGAAGGGAAGGACUCCAUGCGGCCCAGGGAACCCUCGUCCCUGCAUUUUAAGAUGAAAGAGAGCCUUUCGGAGCUCGAGCUGAAUGUUACAAGGGGUGAAUACAACAUACCUUAUCUCUUUAGGAGCACAGUUGUUUUUUAAAAAGUGGUCUUUUCUGCCCAAAACUCUAUAACAUGUUUGCCUGUGGCCGAAGGGCCAAAUA
Long non-coding RNA from Cavia porcellus (domestic guinea pig), 5857 nucleotides. RefSeq lists it as uncharacterized. Lineage: Eukaryota; Metazoa; Chordata; Mammalia; Rodentia; Caviidae. The transcript has 3 exons. The record is from RefSeq and is a predicted model, not a curated record.